CUUUUCUGGUUGGAUUGACUCAACUGGUGUACGUAGAAUACAGGAACAGUCCUUGAGAAAAGAAACAAGUUGUGACAGCGUGCACGGCUGAGCUGACCGUCAUCACAGCUCAGCUAAAGCUUCGGAUGCAAGUUCCAUCAAUUCCCGGAAAGACGUGAGCUGCGGAGGCCCACAGCCCAGGUACCACCACCGUUACUGCUGCUCUGCUGACGCGGGGCUGCAGCUCUUACUUGAGGGUUUGAGUGGCUGAAGAGGUUCGAGUUAAGUGAUCUCUGACAGAUACCGACUUGAAGUCCUUGACAAAAGGAGCGCAACGCGAGAAAGCGCGCCCAGCCUCCCUCAGUUCAGCUCCCUUCAGCUCGUACCUUUCCCCCGCGGCGCCCAGCCCCCGCCUCCCUCAGCCCCGAGGCGGCCGGGACAGCGCUACUCCUCUCCCCGCUCCCGGCCCG
This 449-nucleotide long non-coding RNA is filed under the name Gallus gallus (chicken). RNAcentral's name for it is "long non-coding RNA NONGGAT008459". The record is from RNAcentral. Lineage: Eukaryota; Metazoa; Chordata; Aves; Galliformes; Phasianidae.